CUUCAAAAGAAUGGUGAUAUCAAUGUUCAACAGAUUCGUUCAAGCGAAAAUAUGGCUGAUUUUGUUCACAAAAUCUCUACCAAAGUCAACCUUCAAGAAGCUAGUUCACAAGAUCGGUAUACGAAGACUUAAGGACAUAAAUUGAUGUUCUUAUCAGGGGGAGUUAAUGCGCGUUGGACUCUUUUUCCCUUACAAGGUUUUGUCCCACUGGGUUUUCCUUGUAAGAUUUUUAACGAGGCAACCAAUAGGCGCAUAUUCAAACAUGUGUACUCUUUUGCCUUUUCUAUAAUUUUUUUCCCAUAUUCUCUAAGUAUCAAUAAGAAGAACUCUCUCUACUCUUCUCUCUAUUUGCUCUUGUUUUUGAGUUAUUGUUCUUGUCUUUUAUAUUAUUUCAU
This 395-nucleotide long non-coding RNA is filed under the name Nicotiana benthamiana. RNAcentral's name for it is "long non-coding RNA (NBEN_LNC038004)". Lineage: Eukaryota; Viridiplantae; Streptophyta; Magnoliopsida; Solanales; Solanaceae. The record is from RNAcentral.